RNAcentral lists this small nucleolar RNA (107 nucleotides) under Daucus carota subsp. sativus. RNAcentral's name for it is "Plant small nucleolar RNA R71". It matches the Rfam family "Plant small nucleolar RNA R71". Rfam says of the family: R71 is a member of the C/D box family of snoRNAs containing the C (UGAUGA) and D (CUGA) box motifs. Lineage: Eukaryota; Viridiplantae; Streptophyta; Magnoliopsida; Apiales; Apiaceae. The record is from Rfam by way of RNAcentral.
AUUCCAUGGUGAGGACAUUGCCUUUGAAGGCGUUUGAAUCUUUUCCAAGCAUCAUGUAGUGAUUCAUCGUCUUCUUGACGAAAAGUAGAUAUGUCAUUCCUUAGCUU